RNAcentral lists this non-coding RNA (28 nucleotides) under Bombyx mori (domestic silkworm). Lineage: Eukaryota; Metazoa; Arthropoda; Insecta; Lepidoptera; Bombycidae. The record is from RNAcentral.
UAAAUUCCCAGAAACCGAAGUUACUCCC